This 1376-nucleotide long non-coding RNA is filed under the name Strigops habroptila (Kakapo). Its description in RNAcentral is "lncRNA (ENSSHBG00005018422.1)". The record is from RNAcentral. Lineage: Eukaryota; Metazoa; Chordata; Aves; Psittaciformes; Psittacidae.
UAAUACUCCAGCCGUGCAGGUCCAGACUCACUGGCCGCCCUCAGCACAAAAAAGCGUUUAUGCAUGCUCUUGGGUUUGCGCAAGUAACCCACCUUUCUGACAUCAGAGAAGAAGCCCUCGUUGUUAUCUGUGGGGCUAGCCAUGAUGAGAGGUGGUGGAGCUGUUACUGCAGCUAGCAGUCCGCAAGACCCCAGAACAGCCCAGCCAGCUGGAAAAGGCAACCACCUAAAAUAAAAUUCAUGCAACAACAAUUAAAAAAAAAAAGAAAAAAGAAAAAAAAGGCAGCAAAAUAGCUCAGGAUCCUCUUUUGAGAAUGGGACGGGGGAGGGACGGAGGCAGGGUGAGAGCAGCUGUUCAGUGGCAGAGGCAGCUUCCAGCACCAAAUCAGAGUUUGCGUUGCUGUUUAUGCCCAGAUCGCCCUUAGAUGGGUAAGCGCGUCCUUAAAAAGUCCAGUCCCGAUCAGUCCAGACGAAAGUCUCGUCCCAAGAGCAGCCGCCGGGAAAGAGAAACGCAUCUUCCCCUGCGGGGGUCGUGCUCCGCUGGGGCCGGGAGCGGGCGGGGGUCCUUCCUCCGCUCCCUGCGCCCCUUCCCCGGCUCAAGUUUGCCUCCGCGAGUAGCGAUUUCUGUUGCAGAUUAAAUAUCCUCUUGGGGGCGGAGACUGUUUUGCAAAGUGCGGGGUUUGCACCCAAAAAUACUCGUUGCUUCCCCCUCUUCCCUCUCCCCCAAAAAAGCGAAAACGAAGGAGGGAGGGAGGAAAAAAAAAAAAAAAAAGGCCGCCCACAACGCAACCCCCCUCUUCCCCAAAUAUCAGCGCUGAGGUUGCUGCGGCUUCUCCCGCUCGGGCGUGCGGAGGAGGCUGGCGACCCCAUUCAGUCCCAUCUCGUUAGGCAGAGAAAGUGCCAUUUCCACACACGGCGCAGCCCGGCAGCGGCGGGAGGGGAGGCAGCCCGAGUGCCGAAGGAACAUCCUCUCUUCCUCCUCCUCUUCAUUCCAGUCGGCAGCGCCUCAGCGGCCGGCAGCGCGGCCCCCUCCCGUGCCCCAGGCCGGCGGGGAAGCGGGCACCGCCGCGGCGACUCCCUCUCCGCCGGCUUCUUCACGGAGUUUCCCGGCGCCCCGCACCAAAACAGGCGGCGGGGGCCGCGCUCGCCAGUCCAGCCCCCUCCGCCCGCCGCCGCCGCGGCUCAGGCUCACUCCAAGGAGAACAACACGUGACGGCGCCAGAGCGUGGACCAUCCCCGGAGCCGCCGCCGCCGCCGCCAGGCUCCGGGCCAGCCCAGCGCCGCGGCCCCGCGGCCCGCCCCGGCGCUCCCCGCCCUCCCUCCCUGCCCUCAUUCAGCGCGGCCGCGGGGGCCGCCACCGCCAGGCCCGGCCCCGCG